UACAGAGGUCUCAAGCGUUGUUCGGAUUCAUUGGGCGUAAAGGGUGCGUAGGCGGCGCGGUAAGUCGGGUGUGAAAUCUCGGGGCUUAACUCCGAAACUGCAUUCGAUACUGCCGUGCUUGAGGACUGGAGAGGAGACUGGAAUUUACGGUGUAGCGGUGAAAUGCGUAGAUAUCGUAAGGAAGACCAGUGGCGAAGGCGGGUCUCUGGACAGUUCCUGACGCUGAGGCACGAAGGUCAGGGGGAGCAAAACGGGG
RNAcentral lists this ribosomal RNA (256 nucleotides) under uncultured bacterium. RNAcentral's name for it is "partial 16S ribosomal RNA". It matches the Rfam family "Bacterial small subunit ribosomal RNA", at positions 524 to 778 of the family's 1533-position model. The record is from RNAcentral.